RNAcentral lists this ribosomal RNA (467 nucleotides) under uncultured bacterium. RNAcentral's name for it is "partial 16S ribosomal RNA". It matches the Rfam family "Bacterial small subunit ribosomal RNA", at positions 28 to 506 of the family's 1533-position model. The record is from RNAcentral.
GACGAACGCUGGCGGCGUGCUUAACACAUGCAAGUCGAACGGAAAGGCCCUGCUUUUGUGGGGUGCUCGAGUGGCGAACGGGUGAGUAACACGUGGGUAACCUGCCCUUGACUUUGGGAUAACUUCAGGAAACUGGGGCUAAUACCGGAUAGGAGCUCCUGCUGCAUGGUGGGGGUUGGAAAGUUUCGGCGGUUGGGGAUGGACUCGCGGCUUAUCAGCUUGUUGGUGGGGUAGUGGCUUACCAAGGCUUUGACGGGUAGCCGGCCUGAGAGGGUGACCGGCCACAUUGGGACUGAGAUACGGCCCAGACUCCUACGGGAGGCAGCAGUGGGGAAUAUUGCACAAUGGGCGGAAGCCUGAUGCAGCAACGCCGCGUGCGGGAUGACGGCCUUCGGGUUGUAAACCGCUUUCGCCUGUGACGAAGCGUGAGUGACGGGAAUGGGUAAAGAAACACCGGCUAACUACGU